GCACCUGCCUGCAGCUGUGUGUGUGUGGGGGAGCCUGGCUUUGCCUGAAAUCACUUCCUUUUGGUGUUGAGGGGUGGGGGUGCUGCGUGGUGUGGUGGGUUGUGCUGAGAGCCCAUGACCCCAGCAGCCAUCGCUCGGUGCCCCCAGCCCACAUUUGGGUGGGCUGGGACCCUGCUGGGGCUCCCUUUUCAGAGCAGCUCUGACUGUAGCUUGCCCCAGGGCCAGGAGCCCCGCUGGAAACCCUCCAAACGCCCCCGUGCUGCCUUCUGCUGCUGGCUGGGGCUUCGCCUCGAGCGGCUCUACCCAAAGGCAUCUGCAAGGAGACGACGUCGCCGCUCCCUGCGGGCAGGCAGCCAGCCCGGAUUGCUUCCUCGGCCACCGCAGCCGGCAAUUAAACCCCGGCGAUCGCCAGCAACCCCUGCCUGACCCAGCUGCUGUGCCGAAGCGCCCCGACCUGGCAUUAUCGCGGCUGCUUUUGUGCAGCAAAUAACAGCUCCAGAAACGCCGUGAUGUUUGGGAACACCGCAGCGCCCACCUCUCUUGCCUGUGCUCCCUCAUGCAGGACUGAAGACGCGGCGUGACUUUCCAUUCCCUUCUUAUCUCUGUCCCCAGAGGACGUCGUUAUUUCUGCUCAGACUAUUCAAGCACAAACGUUUGAUGGUAGCCCCGCUGCAGGAAGCCAUCUGAAGACAUUUGGGAGAGCGGAGGGCGGUGAGCGCAGGUGGGGCGCAGAUUUCCUCUCCCCCCUUGCAGCCACACGAGCAAUCGCACUCCAGGUAACGCUGCCAGCAGAGCAAGCAGCAGGAGACGAGCUCGCUGCUUGGCUAUUACACAAGCAAACCACCAAGAGUCGGAGCCCAGCCGGAUCCAUCCCCAGCACAUGCAUUAUCCCCUACCAGCACUGCCAAGGAACGAGGAGGUUUUGUGGUUGUUUGCAUCCCAUGGAGGCAACUAAGGUAAUCAAUGCCUAAUAUUCCUAAUUCCCAAACGAUGUGUGUUUCUGGAAAUAUAUUUUUUUUUAAUUAAAAAAA
Anas platyrhynchos (mallard) is the source of this 1031-nucleotide long non-coding RNA. RefSeq lists it as uncharacterized. NCBI's taxonomy places the organism in Eukaryota, Metazoa, Chordata, Aves, Anseriformes, Anatidae. The record is from RefSeq and is a predicted model, not a curated record.